RNAcentral lists this ribosomal RNA (1282 nucleotides) under Russula sp. 1E4. RNAcentral's name for it is "eukaryotic LSU rRNA". The stretch from base 642 to 1282 matches the Rfam family "Eukaryotic large subunit ribosomal RNA", at positions 1 to 612 of the family's 3401-position model. The record is from RNAcentral. Lineage: Eukaryota; Fungi; Basidiomycota; Agaricomycetes; Russulales; Russulaceae.
GGAUCAUUAUAGUAAAAACCGAGGUGCAACAAGGGCUGUCGCUGACCUUCGAAAGGGGUCGUGCACGCCCCCAAGCCCUCUCACAAUCCAUCUCUCACCCCUUUGUGCAUCACCGCGUGGGUCCUCCUUUGCCGGGAGGGCUCGCGUUUUCAAACAUAAAAACUCAAUAAAGUGUAGAAUGUUCAUUUUUGCGGUCACACGCAAUCAAUACAACUUUCAACAACGGAUCUCUUGGCUCUCGCAUCGAUGAAGAACGCAGCGAAAUGCGAUACGUAAUGUGAAUUGCAGAAUUCAGUGAAUCAUCGAAUCUUUGAACGCACCUUGCGCCCCUUGGCAUUCCGAGGGGCACACCCGUUUGAGUGUCGUGAAAUCUUCAAAACCCCUCUUCUAUUAUGAAAAGGUUUUUUGGACUUGGAGGUUUAAUGCUCGCCUUUUGCAUUCAAAAGCGAGCUCCUCUCAAAAAAAUCAGUGGGGUCUGCUUUGCUGGUCCUCGACGUGAUAAGAUGUUUCUACGUUUUGGAUUUGGCAUAKUCCCUUGGAUGCCCCCGCUCCUAAUCGUCUUGUGGACAAAACGAUGGUGCUUCGGUCACCGCCAUUUAACAUCGGCGGGAGGCUGGACCCACAAAAGAUAUAAACGAUCUUGACCUCAAAUCGGGUGAGACUACCCGCUGAACUUAAGCAUAUCAAUAAGCGGAGGAAAAGAAACUAACAAGGAUUCCCCUAGUAACUGCGAGUGAAGCGGGAAAAGCUCAAAUUUAAAAUCUGGUGGUCUUUGGCCAUCCGAGUUGUAAUUUAGAGAAGCGUCUUCCGCGCUGGACCGUGCACAAGUCUCCUGGAACGGAGCCUCAUAGAGGGUGAGAAUCCCGUCUUUGGCACGGACAUACCAGGGCUUUUGUGAUGCGCUCUCGAAGAGUCGAGUUGUUUGGGAAUGCAGCUCAAAAUGGGUGGUGAACUCCAUCUAAAGCUAAAUAUUGGCGAGAGACCGAUAGCGAACAAGUACCGUGAGGGAAAGAUGAAAAGCACUUUGGAAAGAGAGUGAAACAGUACGUGAAAUUGUUGAAAGGGAAACGCUUGAAGUCAGUCGCGUCGACCGAGACUCAGCCCAGCCUCGGCUUGGUGUACUUCUCGGCCGACGGGUCAGCGUCAAUUUCGCCUCUUGGACAAUGGCGAGGGAAACGUGACACCUUUACGGUGUGUUAUAGUCCCUCGUCGCAUGCAAGGGUCGGGAUUGAGGAACUCAGCACGCGCCUCUCGGCGUCGGGGCUUUGCCCACGAUACGUGC